RNAcentral lists this transfer RNA (73 nucleotides) under Ailuropoda melanoleuca (giant panda). It matches the Rfam family "tRNA". Rfam says of the family: Transfer RNA (tRNA) molecules are approximately 80 nucleotides in length. Their secondary structure includes four short double-helical elements and three loops (D, anti-codon, and T loops). Lineage: Eukaryota; Metazoa; Chordata; Mammalia; Carnivora; Ursidae. The record is from Rfam by way of RNAcentral.
ACCUGGCUGGCUCAGUUGGUAGAGCAUGAGACUCUUGAUCUUGGGGUUGUGAGUUUGAGCCCCAUAAUAGGUG